AAAACUUUCAAGACAAGAUUUGUGGAAAAAUAUUUUUAGGUUCAGACACAUUUGAAGUUUUAUACGUUAUCUAGAAUUAAGCCAGCUGAUCUUCGAACAACUGGCCCAUGAUCUCGAAUUUAAAUGCAUGCAUGACUGCAUGUAUCGUAUUUCCUUUUUUUAGUCCCCCGGGGGGACUGGAGGAGGGGCUAAAUAUUAGUUCGCGACCAUUGGCAUUGCCAAGAGUAAUGGUGUUGUUGCCGUAGAGAUUAUAAAUAACACUAGAGGAGGCAUCGUAAUUUUAAUUCAGUCAAAGAAAGGGAACGUGGCUAUUGGGGGGGAUUUAAAUGAAAUACUAAAAUAAGAGCGAGUUUGAACCAAAAUCUCUAAGUUCUUGUUUAUGGCAGUUAAGUAGUUCCGUUUUGAUUUUUACCAAGCAUUUUUACCUCAAUUUUGUCUAUAACACAUUUUUGAGAGCGCUCCAAAAUAAUGCUGAUGUCAGCAAUUUU
Molecule: non-coding RNA, 488 nt
Organism: Paramuricea clavata
Lineage: Eukaryota; Metazoa; Cnidaria; Anthozoa; Malacalcyonacea; Plexauridae
Source: the annotation of a GenBank genome assembly